CACAAUACCUGCCUGUUCCCAAAGCACCGGCCCAGUGUCCCUCCAGCUGCUUCUCAGGUUUCAUAACUGCCCUGCGUGUUGCACCUGGCCCUUCCUCCCCUGGGGCUGCGGGGCUGGAAACCGAGGAGAUGGCAGCCUGGUUUCCCUCCCUCCCUGCUCCUGCAAGUCCAGGCCCCUGAGGCGACUGGGGCUUUGGAGACUGACUCACUCUUUUGAAAAAAAUGUUAAAAAGAAUCUGAAGCAAAUAUACCAAAAGAGUAACAUUUGGACAUCUGGGGGGUAGAGUCAUUUAUCCAUCUCCACCCACUUAAUGGCUGCUUCAUCGACUUUGUCAAAUGCAUCAUCUAAGUGGACUAUCUCUGCCACCAUCUCAAAACAGCUCUUUCGUUUAAUUUUCUGUUUCUGUCAAUAGCGCACUCA
This is a long non-coding RNA of Lemur catta (Ring-tailed lemur), 420 nucleotides long. RefSeq lists it as uncharacterized. The transcript is spliced from 3 exons. The record is from RefSeq and is a predicted model, not a curated record. NCBI's taxonomy places the organism in Eukaryota, Metazoa, Chordata, Mammalia, Primates, Lemuridae.